RNAcentral lists this ribosomal RNA (245 nucleotides) under uncultured bacterium. RNAcentral's name for it is "partial 16S ribosomal RNA". It matches the Rfam family "Bacterial small subunit ribosomal RNA", at positions 15 to 249 of the family's 1533-position model. The record is from RNAcentral.
GAUCCUGGCUCAGGAUGAACGCUAGCUACAGGCUUAACACAUGCAAGUCGAGGGGGCAGCAUUUUAGUUUGCUUGCAAACUGAAGAUGGCGACCGGCGCACGGGUGAGUAACACGUAUCCAACCUGCCGAUAACUCCGGGAUAGCCUUUCGAAAGAAAGAUUAAUACCGGAUAGCAUACGAAUAUCGCAUGAUAUUUUUAUUAAAGAAUUUCGGUUAUCGAUGGGGAUGCGUUCCAUUAGUUUGG